AGUGAACGCUGGCGGCGUGCCUAAUACAUGCAAGUCGAACGAUGAAGCUCUAGCUUGCUAGAGUGGAUUAGUGGCGCACGGGUGAGUAAUGCAUAGGUUAUGUGCCCUUUAGUCUAGGAUAGCCAUUGGAAACGAUGAUUAAUACUGGGUACUCCCUACGGGGGAAAGUUUUUCGCUAAAGGAUCAGCCUAUGUCCUAUCAGCUUGUUGGUGAGGUAAUGGCUCACCAAGGCUAUGACGGGUAUCCGGCCUGAGAGGGUGAACGGACACACUGGAACUGAGACACGGUCCAGACUCCUACGGGAGGCAGCAGUAGGGAAUAUUGCUCAAUGGGGGAAACCCUGAAGCAGCAACGCCGCGUGGAGGAUGAAGGUUUUCGGAUUGUAAACUCCUUUUCUAAGAGAAGAUUAUGACGGUAUCUUAGGAAUAAGCACCGGCUAACUCCGUGCCAGCCGCCGCGGUAA
Molecule: ribosomal RNA, 463 nt
Filed under: uncultured bacterium
Lineage: Bacteria
Description: partial 16S ribosomal RNA
Rfam family: Bacterial small subunit ribosomal RNA
Source: RNAcentral